Molecule: long non-coding RNA, 576 nt
Organism: Xenopus laevis (African clawed frog)
Lineage: Eukaryota; Metazoa; Chordata; Amphibia; Anura; Pipidae
Exons: 4
Source: RefSeq, a predicted model, not a curated record
CUUGCAUAAUGGUCAUAGUUGUAAAUAUAUUGCUUUGCCUUGUACUUCUGAAACUGCACUCCCGUCACCCGAUGGACAUUUUAGCACUGAGAUUUCUAGUUAACAAAAUGUGUGUGAGCAGAAACAUGGGUUCUGCCGGUCAACUCAGCCUCUGGCAGCCAUCGCUACUGUGUAAAUUUAAUGUGAGAUUCACUGUACUAUUUUGUUGUUGACCCUGUAGGCAGUCUUAGUGCCCAUUGAGAAGUGCAGAGAAAUGCCGAAGAAAGCGGAAUUUUCUCACGAAAACAUUUGCAGGCGGCAAAAGUGUAAAUUCAUUGCGAAUUCAUGCCUGGAUCACUACUGCCCUACACUGGCAAUUAAACUGUUUGACUCCAUGCCAUCAGGCAUCUGUGUUUAAAAGCAGGAGACCUGAUAAAAGCAAUUCUCCCAGACGGAGCCAUCACUGAAAAUGACAUUUGCUGUUAGCAGUUGGCUGCAGAAUGGAAAGUCGGAUCAACAUUACAGAGAAUCGGGGUUAUAUAUCAAGUGCUACGGCAACAGGAAGGCUACCUGACAUGCUGUGAUGUGGAAAAUCAC